CCUACGGGGCGCAGCAGUAGGGAAUCUUCCACAAUGGGCGAAAGCCUGAUGGAGCAACGCCGCGUGGGUGAAGAAGGUCUUCGGAUCGUAAACCCUGUUGUUAGAGAAGAAAGUGCGUGAGAGUAACUGUUCACGUUUCGACGGUAUCUAACCAGAAAGCCACGGCUAACUACGUGCCAGCAGCCGCGGUAAUACGUAGGUGGCAAGCGUUAUCCGGAUUUAUUGGGCGUAAAGGGAACGCAGGCGGUCUUUUAAGUUCGAUGUGAAAGCCUUCGGCUUAACCGGAGUAGUGCAUUGGAAACUGGGAGACUUGAGUGCAGAAGAGGAGAGUGGAACGCCAUGUGUAGCGGUGAAAUGCGUAGAUAUAUGGAAGAACACCAGUGGCGAAAGCGGCUCUCUGGUCUGUAACUGACGCUGAGGUUCGAAAGCGUGGGUAGCAAACAGGAUUAGAUACCCUGGUAGUC
RNAcentral lists this ribosomal RNA (464 nucleotides) under uncultured bacterium. Its description in RNAcentral is "partial 16S ribosomal RNA". It matches the Rfam family "Bacterial small subunit ribosomal RNA", at positions 338 to 795 of the family's 1533-position model. The record is from RNAcentral.